CCACUAACCAGCGUUUUAGGGUUAUCCCCUUUCAAUCCUACAAUUCAACCGCCACCCUCGACCUCACAUCUUCUCUUUCCUCUACUCUCUCUUACGAGUCUCUAGUCUCACUCCUCAAAUUUUCAUUCUUUGCUUCCAAGUUAUGGUUAAUGAAUUUUUCUACUUUGUAUGAUCACAAGAUCUGAAAUCUUCAAUGCAGGAAUUAUCGCAAAUUUGCAGAUCUCGCCUAAUAUAUCAUGGAUGAUGAAGAAAUGGAAAAAGCAAUGAAGGAUUGUGAUUGUUCGUGAACUUUUCACACACUAACCUGGAUGUCAUGAAGCUAAUUAUCACCAGUACAUAAGAGGUUGAUUUGCGUUUAAGAAGGGUUGUUUUGCAGGAAGCCAAAUCCGGCUCAGCAGAUUGGGACUAAAAACUUGAGUAAAUGUAUAGGUGAUUUAUCCUUUACCUCUUGGAUUGCUUAUUAGUGCGAAUGCAUAGACACAAGACUACAAGAGGCCACCCAACCUAGAUAAGCUUAAGAGAUGGAUUCAUGAAAUUGCAUAGGUUUCCACUCCUGAACAGCUAUGGAGCAGAGUUUCGCCUGUUGAUCUGAGUCCUGAAAGGAGGCUGCCUUAAUAUCUAGUCAAGUAGUAUCUACAGAAGCAUUGCGGUGUCAAGUUAUUCCACUAAGAAUGUCUUACCAGAUCAGCUACACACUUGCAUAAGAAAGAAGCUGCAAAAUAUAUAAAAUGAUACGGAGUAGUAGUCUUCUUCUUUUUUCUUAAUCUAAAAAUGUUAUAGUAGAUAAGCAUAUUGUAUGUAAUUUUGAUUUGUUUAUCAGUGUUUAUGCGGUUAAUAUAAGAAAGAAUUAUGAAUAAUUUAACUUUAGAGAUGUAAUUUUUGGUACUUAACUAUAUCUAAAUAUAACUUGAUUUUUAGCA
Molecule: long non-coding RNA, 920 nt
Organism: Chenopodium quinoa (quinoa)
Lineage: Eukaryota; Viridiplantae; Streptophyta; Magnoliopsida; Caryophyllales; Amaranthaceae
Exons: 4
Source: RefSeq, a predicted model, not a curated record